GACCUGACUGACAGUGGGUUUAGCUGUUUGGUGGCCUCCCUGCCUUGGGCUCAUGAGCACUUGAUCAGAAGUCCAGGUUAGUAUGCGAAGCCAGGAGUGCUAUUAUUACUGUGUUAGCGACAGCUGCAUUAACUACUCAGAAAAAUUACUGCCUUUAAGAAGGAAACAAAACAAAACCCUCGAGCUAUGUUUGUAUCCAUAACUGACAUCCGGAUCGCGCCUCUGUGUGCUGCAUUGUUUGGAAAACUGCAAUACAAGCUGGCAGAAGAACUCCUCAUUCUGAUGAUGCACUUUUAUGUAUUUUUUUUUAAUUAGAAAGUAGAACUAAUUUUAGAUUUUCAGCUUAAUGGAUUUUCAAUUUUUUUUCCCCAAAGAAUUUUCUUUACAAUUAGUCUUUAAAUUGGAUACGUUGUGCAUUGGUGUACCAUUCUGUCCCAGAAAGGGCAGGAGGACACCGAGCUCAGCCCAGUCCUUACGGGCAGCUGUAGCCCUUAGGGUGAAUUGUCAAUGCUAAGGUAUACUUUGGACACUGAAAGAAGAAUUAGGCGAUACUUGGUUUUGAUGAGGUUAUGAUUAAGCAGUAUAUAUUCCUUUUAUUUAUAGAGUUGUUUUAUAGUGCAUACAAAUCAGCAUUCGGCCAACAAGUGUGGUCUUUGAGCUUUCGCAAGCUCUGUUCUUUUGCCUUCAGUCUGUUAGUCUUCAGAAAGACAGUGCUCCCCCACCCCCUUUUAUUUUAUUUUUUGCCUUUCUUUUUUCCCCUUUGCUUGUAUGCACAAGGUAAGGCUUAUUUCACAGAAACCAGAAUGCCAGUAUUUUCCUAAGCCAUGACAUGUAACCUUGACCCUGUGGCUGCGUGACACAGACACUAACUUUGGUCCCAUGGCUAGAACUUGAGAGUGACUGAAGCCAUACCUGUGAAGCAUCCCCGGAGGCGGCCCUUUGAUCUCUGCGAGGACUUUUGUACACUCCACACAACUCCUGUUCCUGUCUUAGACAAAUUGAUUUUCAUUUUUAAAAGUGGGCAAAAGGCAUUUUCUUCCAGAUUUUUAAACUAAUUUUUAUUUUUAACCAGUUUAUCAAAAUUUGUCAGUGAAUUUUACAUACAAAAACAUUUUAAAAAUCAUUUCUAGUAAGCACUUGACAUUUAGUCAGCUUUCCACUUUUGAAUUUUUUUUUUUGUUCUAUCAAAAAUUAGAAAUCUUCUUUAAAGACAAUGAUUUCUCAUAAUUAAGUAGCAGAAUUCUCGUCCAUCUUGUGACAUCUGACGGGUGCCAGAUGUUGAUAAAGUUACUCUUUGUUAAUCUGGGUAAAACAGACCUGUAGCAGCAGAUCUUUGUAUGAGCAUGGUUUUUGAAUCCUUCAUUUCGCUGCAUUCUAUCACACGUUUGUGCAUUUUCAUGUUACACUGCAAUUACUUAAACUCUCCCCUGUCCUUCCAAAUUAAUUUCCAAAGUUGGAGUAUAGUCUUUCCCCUGAAGCUAUGCAUUAAUUAAGGCUUUCUUUACCACUUACAUUGUUUAUAUACAGUGUUCUACUCUCCACCUCUUGCUCUGCAGUCACCUUGCCCUUCCUCCCACCAUUUGAGUAAAGAAGACGGUCCGCUAACAGGUGACAUGUACUGGUGUCUGUGUGUGUAGCUUCAGAGUUAGAUUGACAUCACCAGGCACAGAUUUAGUCUUGUCGUUUUGUUUACACAUUGGGGAAAAAUUCAGUUUAAUAAACGUUCCAUGUAACUGCAUCCAAGUUUCACCAGGCUGGAGACGUGGAUCUUUUCUGUGUAGUGACUUUUUACUUCUAGUUUCCAUAACCUGGAGAUCAGACUGUUGCUUUCGCA
Molecule: long non-coding RNA, 1834 nt
Filed under: Mus musculus (house mouse)
Lineage: Eukaryota; Metazoa; Chordata; Mammalia; Rodentia; Muridae
Description: long non-coding RNA chr12:105836973-105838807
Source: RNAcentral